RNAcentral lists this transfer RNA (73 nucleotides) under bacterium. RNAcentral's name for it is "tRNA-Glu". It matches the Rfam family "tRNA". From Rfam's summary of the family: Transfer RNA (tRNA) molecules are approximately 80 nucleotides in length. Their secondary structure includes four short double-helical elements and three loops (D, anti-codon, and T loops). The record is from RNAcentral.
GCCGCGUUCGUCUAGUGGUUCAGGACGCUGGCCUCUCACGCCGGUAACACGGGUUCGAAUCCCGUACGCGGUA